CACAACCCAAAUACAGAAUCUUUUAUGCAAAAUGCAUUGAGUACAUUGCAUCUUUCACUCAUUUUUAUUUUAGAUCCCAGACAACGAGAGGCAUAGCCUCUUCUCCGGGCGAGAGGAGAAUGGAUGGUCCACCAGAAAAAAACUGUGGGAUGUGCAUCACUCAGGGGCCUUCACAGAGGACCAAGCAAACCUCGUGGACAAGUGGGUGAUUGAAGAGGUGGAUAUUCCUCUUCAGUACGAAAUGCGGUUGGAGUAUGGCGUGAUGGUAGUGCUUCCUGAAGCCUUGCUGCAAUCUACCAGCUGCACAAAGGCACAGCCACCCUGCAGGAGGCUAGGGAUUGUGUCCGGAAAGCAGGAGUUCGUGAUUAGUUCGUGGGAGCAUUUUCAGAGUAGACUAGAGUUGAACUUUGACCUGUUACUGGUCUGUAAGAUAAUACUAUUUUCUGUCUUAGUGCUGUUUAAUCAUCUUGGUUGUUUACAAAAUGUUACCCACAUAUGUAAGAUGUUGACUUCAUUUUUAGUUCUUGAUGGCAAUCAAAAACGAACUUUGACCUGUUACUGGUCUGUAAGAUAAUACUGUUUUCUGUCUAGUGCUGUUUAAUCAUCUUGGUUGUUUACAAAAUGUUACCCACAUAUGUAAGAUGUUGACUUCAUUUUUAGUUCUUGAUGGCAAUCAAAAACGAACUUUGACCUGUUACUGGUCUGUAAGAUAAUACUGUUUUCUGUCUAGUGCUGUUUAAUCAUCUUGGCUGUUUACAAAAUGUCACCCACAUAUGUAAGAUGUUGACUUCAUUUUUAGUUCUUGAUGGCAAUCAAAAACGUGCACAUAAAAAGUGCAGUCAGGAGCUUAUGUUCUUACACACGUGAGCUUAUAUUCUUACAGACAUGAGAUAUUCUUACACACAGUAUUUUUGUAUGACAUGUUUCACAAGUUAGAUUUCAUGGAGCAAAAUGCUCAUUCAUCUGGAAAGAGUGCCCUUGUGUUCAGAGCAUUUUCAGAGUAGAGUAGUGUUAACCUUUGACGCAGGAGGAGCUGCGGGUAUG
This is a long non-coding RNA of Branchiostoma floridae (Florida lancelet), 1044 nucleotides long. RefSeq lists it as uncharacterized. The record is from RefSeq and is a predicted model, not a curated record. The transcript is spliced from 3 exons. Lineage: Eukaryota; Metazoa; Chordata; Leptocardii; Amphioxiformes; Branchiostomatidae.